RNAcentral lists this ribosomal RNA (390 nucleotides) under uncultured bacterium. RNAcentral describes it as "bacterial SSU rRNA". It matches the Rfam family "Bacterial small subunit ribosomal RNA", at positions 28 to 417 of the family's 1533-position model. The record is from RNAcentral.
GACGAACGCUGGCGGCGUGCUUAACACAUGCAAGUCGAGCGGUAAGGCCCUUUCGGGGGUACGACGAGCGGCGAACGGGUGAGUAACACGUGGGUGACCUGCCCUCAGCUCUGGGAUAAGCCUGGGAAACCGGGUCUAAUACUGGAUAUGACUCCAUGACGCAUGUUGGUGGGGUGGAAAGCCUUGUGCGGCUGAGGAUGGGCCCGCGGCCUAUCAGCUUGUUGGGUGGGGUGAGGCCUACCAAGGCGACGACGGGUAGCCGGCCUGAGAGGGCGACCGGCCAUACUGGGACUGAGACACGGCCCAGACUCCUACGGGAGGCAGCAGUGGGGAAUCUUGCGCAAUGGGCGAAAGCCUGACGCAGCGACGCCGCGUGAGGGAUGACGGCCU